Molecule: non-coding RNA, 97 nt
Organism: Acanthosepion pharaonis
Lineage: Eukaryota; Metazoa; Mollusca; Cephalopoda; Sepiida; Sepiidae
Source: the annotation of a GenBank genome assembly
UUAAAAUACCGGUUCCCGUACGAUCACUGAAGUUAAGCCACGUCGAAGCUGUUUAGUAGCUAGCUGGGUGACCGCUUGGAAAUAUCAGGUGCUGUAA